RNAcentral lists this long non-coding RNA (1386 nucleotides) under Dasypus novemcinctus (nine-banded armadillo). RNAcentral's name for it is "lncRNA (ENSDNOG00000050481.1)". The record is from RNAcentral. Lineage: Eukaryota; Metazoa; Chordata; Mammalia; Cingulata; Dasypodidae.
AAAAAUAUUUUAUAUUUUUUAUUGUCUUUUUAAAAAAAGAUACAUAGAUCACAAAAAAAGUUACAUUAAAAAUUAUGAGGUUCCCAUAUACCUCACCCCCACUCCUCCCACAUCAACAACUUCUUUCAUUCGUGUGGCACAUUCAUUGCAUUUGGUGAAUACAUUUGGAGCACUGCUGCACUGCAUGGAUUAUAGUUUACAUUGUAAUUUACACUCUCCCCCAGUCCGUUCAAUGAGUUAUGACAGGAUAUAUAAUGUCCAGCAUCUGUCCCUGCAAUAUCAUUUAGGACAACUCCCAAGUCCCCAAAAUGCCCCCAUAUCACACCUCUUCUUCCCUUUCCCUGCCCUCAGCAACUCCCAUGGCCACUGUCUCCACAUCAAUGAUAACAGUUUCUUCCAUUGUGGCAGUAUCCUAGCCUUUGAUGUUUACUGGUGCAUCUUUAUAUCACACGUGGAGAGGGCUGGAUCCAGAUGGUCAGACCACCCCACCCAAUGCGCUUUGCUUUCAGGCCAGAUUCCCAUCAGGGAACCCUGGAGCUGGGCGGUUUGGCCACUGCCCCAGGACAUCACCGCAGUACUUGGCAAGAGGUCAUUGAAGGGAAGUUCAGGAAGCUCCUUUUCUGUGCCUGCCAAGUGGUAACCAACCCCCAAGAAGGCUUUCUUUGAACCAGUUAGGGCACUGAGCUCUGGGAAAGGAAGAGGUCAGGAAGGGUCACAGACUAGUCUCAGAAGUGAGUUCCUGUUCUUCUCUGCUUACUAGCUGCUUUAUUUAUAGCCCUUUGCCAGUUUGUUCUUUAUUCCAUUUUAAAGCAUUUCCACUUCCACCCUUCAUUUGCUCUUCCCACCAGCCCAGGGAGUCCCUCUCUUCAGCUUAGACUAGUGAGUGCAACAGCACCCCAGAGACAAGUGGUCUCAAACCCUUGCAAGUCCCAACCCUGACAACUUUCCUUCUAGUCACAAAUCUAGUCCAUUUUGUCUUCAGUUAUUCAAACUCUUUCUGAACAUCUGAUUCAGGUUCCUCUUCUGUAAAAAUAAGUGGGGUUAGUUUAGUUUAGGUUAAGAUUUAGCAAACUUUUCCUGUAAAGAACCGGAUGGGGGAAGCGGACAUGGCUCAACUGACAGAGUGCCCGUCUACCAUAUGGAGGGUCCAGGGCUCAAUACCCCGGGCCUCCUGACCUGUGGGGUGAACUGGCCCUCGCGCAGUGCUGCCGUGCACAAGGAGUGCCGUGCCACACAGGGGUGUCCCCUGCAUAGGGGAGCCCCACGUGCAAGGAGUGCACCCUGUAAGGAGAGCCGCCCUAUGUGAUAAAAGUGCAGCCCACCCAGGAGCGCCACUGUGCACAUGGAGAGCUGACGCAGCAAGAUGAUGCAACAAAGAGACACAGA